ACCAAUCUAAUCCACUGUGGCAUCCAGCAAAAAAUAUACUGGCUGCAGCUGUUGUACCUCUCCUUCUGACGAAUAUUUAUAUCAGAGCUGACUGCAAGUAUGCUGGGAGUCUCAUCACACAGAAAAUGCACUCGAUUGUGCAGUAGCGCUAAAGAUGUCUCCAGCACCGCACGGAUGUCAAGGUAGGGGAAAGGGCAGUGCUGAAUUUGACAAUUGCCAGUAAAUUUUGGCCACCAAUUCCAGCAGACAGAUGGCCGCCUUCUACAGGAUCAAAGAGCUUCAGACACCUGAACAGGAGCCUGAAAUCCCGAAACACCGCUACAAAUAGGACUUGGGUGGCACUGUGACCAACCGGCUUGUAAGAUGCAAUUCCCAUUGCUGUUCCAAUUGCUCGCACAGCGGAAAGGGAAAUCAGGCGCACAACUGCAUUCAUGCCUGACCUACCAUAUUUCUGGCCUUUUCCAUCUUCAUUUUGAAGCUGUGAAUGAGUUAAGUUUUCUCCAUUUUAAAUGAUUUGACAGAAUGGUCAAGAGUGGUUUUGAAGAAGAGCAUUAACCUCAGCAAAUAUCUGCGGAAUAUUUUGUUUCCCAUGUUGUAUUGUUUUCCCAUUCUGCUCUCUGCUGAUGAAAAGAUGAAUGUUCAAAGAUAGUUCCACUUACUCUGCACUAGCACCAGACAUUUAGAAUGACAAAAUAAUAUCAUUUAAAUUUCAAAUGCUGUCCUAAUUGCACUAAGUUGCAUAUAAAAGGCAGCAGAUGUUUCUAUGGUCUUUGUGGGGUGAAAAUAUUUGUUUAUGGGGAACUAGAGCUAGUUACAACAUCUUUUACCUCAUCUCUGUUUGAAGCCAGAAUGCAUAUCGAGGUAAAAGUGACCAUAGCUAACGCUCGAGUGUACACUAAUAUAUGCGGAGAUGCACAUUCAUCUGAAAGUUCCAUUGAGAAGCUUGCCUAUUCAUGAUAUGAAGAAUGAAUGUCUGCUACAUCUUGAACAGCUGCACUAAGUUUGUGCAUAAACAAAACUCUAUUGCUGCAGUCUUUAUCAAAAGUCAAUCUAAAUUUAGGUUUGAAAUUUUAAAAAAUAUCAUUAUCGGUUGGUAUUGCCUCAUGGUGAAUUUAUGCUCUUUAAAAACCUGCACAGGCUUCUGACUCAUUUGAGACAGGUGAUCGUCAUGGCGACAAUCUGCAGACGUCACUGAGAGAUUAAGGCAUGCAAAUGCACAAAAGUGAACAAAGCAGCUUGCUCUGAAGGUCUCAGUUGUGGGGUAAUAAGCAUAUAAAUAGUACUCUGUCGGCAAAUCUUGAAGGUUCUGCCUGGAAAAUGUAUCACAAAAUUUUAAGUUUUUAAUUUUAAUAUUGGGCACAGAUUGAAGAAUGUAAUUCAUGUUAUAUGUGCAGUGAUAUUCAUAUGUUGAAGGGGCUGAUUUGAAUGUUUUCAAGAAACCUUGUAUAUUAUGCAAAGUAUAUCUUAAUGUAUCUAUUUAUGUUACUUCAUUUGAAUGGAUAUUAAGUUUGAUUUUGGUAUUAAAUUUCAAAGUCAGAUAUGGUCAUUGACAAGUACUUACAUUUUAAUAAAUAUAUA
This is a long non-coding RNA of Mobula hypostoma (lesser devil ray), 1578 nucleotides long. RefSeq lists it as uncharacterized. NCBI's taxonomy places the organism in Eukaryota, Metazoa, Chordata, Chondrichthyes, Myliobatiformes, Myliobatidae. The transcript has 4 exons. The record is from RefSeq and is a predicted model, not a curated record.